Non-coding RNA from Hemibagrus wyckioides, 423 nucleotides. Lineage: Eukaryota; Metazoa; Chordata; Actinopteri; Siluriformes; Bagridae. The record is from the annotation of a RefSeq genome assembly.
AUGUUAGCUUCAGCUCCACUGCUGCUGCUGGCUCUCGCCCCCUAUGUGUUCUGUGCUACUGAGCUCAUCCAGCCAGACUCACUGCUUAUAAAGCCAGGAGAGACUUUAACCAUCACCUGUAAAGUGUCUGGAGCUUCUAUCACUGAUAGCAGCAGCCACUAUGGAACAGCUUGGAUUCGACAACCUGCAGGAAAAGCUUUAGAAUGGAUCAACAGCAUUUAUUAUGAUGGGGGUAUUCAUAAGAAAGAUUCACUUAAAGACAAGUUUGUUGUCUCUCGAGACACUUCCAGUAACACUGUGACCUUACGGGGACAGAACAUGCAGACUGAAGACACAGCUGUGUAUUACUGCGCUCGUGAUCCACACAGUGACACGACAAGCUGCAGUGCUGCACAAAAACCUCAUCACUAUUCACUUCUUUAA